GAGAACGGCCGUUGCUGCCGCCAGCAUGGGAACUUUGUACCGUGUCCCAUUCUUAGUGCUUGAAUGUCCCAACCUGAAGCUGAAGAAGCUGCUCUGGCUGCACACGCCGUUGGCCAUGACUGUGUAUGCUCUGGUGGUGGUGUCUUACUUCCUCAUCACCAGAGGAAUCGUUUAUGAUGUUGUUGUUGAACCGCCAGGUGUUGACUUUAUGACUGAUGAACAAAGGCAUCAGAGGCCAGUAGCUUUCUUGGCCUACAGAGAAGGUGGACAACAUAUUACGGAAGGACUUGCAUCCAGCUUCCUGUUUACAAUGGGAGGUUUAGGUCUCAUAAUCCUGGAUCAAUCGAAUACACCAAAUAUCCCAAAACUCAAUAGAUUUAUUCUUCUAUUCAUUGGAUUUGUCUGUGUCCUAUUGAGUUUUUUCAUGGCUGGAGUAUUCGUGAGAAUGCAACUGCCGGGCUAUUUGAUGGGUUAGAGUGCCUUUGAGAAGAAAUCAGUGGAUCCUGGAUUUGCUCCUGUCAAUGACGUGUUAAAGGCUGUCCAAUCCUCUAAUAUGAGAUGUAGAAAAGAAGGAACAGCAGCAGUAAAAGAAAUAUCUAGUGAGAACACAGGAAGUGUAUUGAAGCUUGGACGAGAAUUUCUUCUUGGUAUUAAAGAGACAAGUUUAUCACAGUAUUUUUUUUUCCUGCUGAGCAUAUUGCUAUACCAACGAUGAUGAGUGGCAUGUUGUUCUUAGUUUUUCAUAAAAUAUACUCCAUACCUACAACUAUAAUAGCAAAUAAAGUGAUUAUUUUUUACAACCCCCUUAACAUUUUUUGGAGGUGACGUUUCUGAUUUUCAGAAAUUAACAUAAAGUCAAGAAGCAAGAUUCCAUGAGCUGAGAACUCUGGACAGCCGGUCAGCUUUACCUAUGGUGCUUUGGCUUUAACUAGAGUGUGUGAUGGUGGAUUAUUUCAGAUAGGUGUGUAAGACUGUUUCCUGAACAAUAACAUAUAUGAAAGGAGCAGAAAUAAAUAC
This is an RNA transcript of Mandrillus leucophaeus (drill), 1017 nucleotides long. It is a transcript of the gene named oligosaccharyltransferase complex subunit OSTC pseudogene, with no coding region annotated. Lineage: Eukaryota; Metazoa; Chordata; Mammalia; Primates; Cercopithecidae. The transcript is spliced from 2 exons. The record is from RefSeq and is a predicted model, not a curated record.